CCUACGGGUGGCAGCAGUAGGGAAUAUUGCUCAAUGGGGGAAACCCUGAAGCAGCAACGCCGCGUGGAGGAUGAAUGUUUUCGGAUUGUAAACUCCUUUUGUUAGAGAAGAUAAUUACGGUAUCUAACGAAUAAGCACCGGCUAACUCCGUGCCAGCAGCCGCGGUAAUACGGAGGGUGCCGGCGUUACUCGGAAUCACUGAGCGUAAAGAGCGCGUAGGCGGGUUAGCAAGUCAGAUGUGAAAUCCUACGGCUUAACCAUAGAAUUGCAGUUGAAACUGUCAUCCUAGAGUAUGGGAGAGGUAGGUGGAAUUCGUGGUGUAGGGGUAAAAUCCGUAGAGAUCAAGAGGAAUACUCAUUGCGAAGGCGACCUGCUAGAACAUAACUGACGCUGAUGCGCGAAAGCGUGGGGAGCAAACAGGAUUAGAUACCCUGGUAGUC
RNAcentral lists this ribosomal RNA (440 nucleotides) under uncultured bacterium. Its description in RNAcentral is "partial 16S ribosomal RNA". It matches the Rfam family "Bacterial small subunit ribosomal RNA", at positions 338 to 795 of the family's 1533-position model. The record is from RNAcentral.